This 306-nucleotide ribosomal RNA is filed under the name uncultured bacterium. RNAcentral describes it as "bacterial SSU rRNA". It matches the Rfam family "Bacterial small subunit ribosomal RNA", at positions 8 to 334 of the family's 1533-position model. The record is from RNAcentral.
AGAGUUCGAUUCUGGCUCAGAACGAACGCUGGCGGCGUGGAUAAGACAUGCAAGUCGAACGGAGUGGCUUCGGUCACUCAGUGGCGCACGGGUGAGUAACACGUGAGCAACCUGCCUCCGAGACGGGAAUAGCCCCGGGAAACUGGGAUUAAUGCCCGAUGGUCUCGCAAGAGUAAAUGCAGCAAUGCGCUUGGAGAGGGGCUCGCGGCCUAUUAGUUAGUUGGCGGGGUAACGGCCCACCAAGGCGAUGACGGGUAGCCGGUCUGAGAGGAUGUCCGGCCACACUGGAACUGAGACACGGUCCAG